RNAcentral lists this ribosomal RNA (896 nucleotides) under Wolbachia endosymbiont of Formica cinerea. Its description in RNAcentral is "bacterial SSU rRNA". It matches the Rfam family "Bacterial small subunit ribosomal RNA", at positions 73 to 1002 of the family's 1533-position model. The record is from RNAcentral. Lineage: Bacteria; Pseudomonadati; Pseudomonadota; Alphaproteobacteria; Rickettsiales; Anaplasmataceae.
UUGUAGCCUGCUAUGGUAUAACUUAGUGGCAGACGGGUGAGUAAUGUAUAGGAAUCUACCUAGUAGUAUGGAAUAAUUGUUGGAAACGACAACUAAUACCAUAUACGCCCUACGGGGGAAAGAUUUAUUGCUAUUAGAUGAGCCUAUAUUAGAUUAGCUAGUUGGUGAGGUAAAAGCUCACCAAGGCAAUGAUCUAUAGCUGAUCUGAGAGGAUGAUCAGCCACACUGGAACUGAGAUACGGUCCAGACUCCUACGGGAGGCAGCAGUGGGGAAUAUUGGACAAUGGGUGAAAGCCUGAUCCAGCCAUGCCGCAUGAGUGAAGAAGGCCUUCGGGUUGUAAAGCUCUUUUAGUGAGGAAGAUAAUGACGGUACUCACAGAAGAAGUCCUGGCUAACUCCGUGCCAGCAGCCGCGGUAAUACGGAGAGGGCUAGCGUUAUUCGGAAUCAUUGGGCGUAAAGGGCGCGUAGGCGGGUUAGUAAGUUAAAAGUGAAAUCCCAAGGCUCAACCUUGGAACUGCUUUUAAAACUGCUAAUCUAGAGAUUGAAAGAGGAUAGAGGAAUUCCUAGUGUAGAGGUGAAAUUCGUAAAUAUUAGGAGGAACACCAGUGGCGAAGGCGUCUAUCUGGUUCAAAUCUGACGCUGAGGCGCGAAGGCGUGGGGAGCAAACAGGAUUAGAUACCCUGGUAGUCCACGCUGUAAACGAUGAAUGUUAAAUAUGGGGAGGUUACUCUCUGUAUUACAGCUAACGCGUUAAACAUUCCGCCUGGGGACUACGGUCGCAAGAUUAAAACUCAAAGGAAUUGACGGGGACCCGCACAAGCGGUGGAGCAUGUGGUUUAAUUCGAUGCAACGCGAAAAACCUUACCACUCCUUGACAUGAAAAUCAUACCUAUUC